UUGCUUGCCAACAUUCAUAUUGUCUAUUUAUUGAGGAGAUCACAGAUGAAACAAGAAAAUAAUUGCAGUUGAUACGGGCAGAUCGGCAAGAGCAAUAUUCUUGUUCCUUGGUCCUAGUGGACCGCGGUCUCCAUCUCAGUAUAUAGAGGACCAACCAGGAAUUGAUUAGAACACAUAUAUUAUCCCAUCUACUACAACAGGAAUCAACCAAGCAUCCAUCCAUGAGAUCAUCGAUCUCCAUGGACAAGCACAAGAGUCACACCCGUGCACUAGCCUUGCUGCUCUCCCUGCUGCUUCUCGCCUGUUUUCCCCUUCAUGCGCACUGCGGCAUCAUGGAGGGAAUGGAGGAAGACAAGAUCAACUUACCGGGCGGGCUCUGCGUCCAUCAUAAAGACUGCAAACCGGGUAAUUGUUGCUACUGGUGUCUAGUGCUGGAUCUGUGCUAUGCAUCAGAGGCCGAGUGCAAUCGAGAGUGCAAAAGCCACAUCGAUGCGCGCCUGCAGUUUAACCUUCCAUCGCCUUCAAAUUAAGUUCCUCCAUUUUGAAUCGGCAACCCAAUGGAACAAGACUAGUAUUUCAAUUUGUUGUAUUCCCUCAAAGUCGCCGGAGGUAGUUGUUACAAUAAAAAUAUGGUGCAACGUUUUUGUAGCAAUUGUGUAUUUAUUUUUCAAUGUCUUAUUAGGGAACAUUUCUAAUUAUCAACCUUUUUAUGGUUUA
This is a long non-coding RNA of Hordeum vulgare subsp. vulgare (domesticated barley), 717 nucleotides long. RefSeq lists it as uncharacterized. The record is from RefSeq and is a predicted model, not a curated record. NCBI's taxonomy places the organism in Eukaryota, Viridiplantae, Streptophyta, Magnoliopsida, Poales, Poaceae. The transcript is spliced from 2 exons.